RNAcentral lists this ribosomal RNA (250 nucleotides) under uncultured bacterium. RNAcentral describes it as "partial 16S ribosomal RNA". It matches the Rfam family "Bacterial small subunit ribosomal RNA", at positions 524 to 771 of the family's 1533-position model. The record is from RNAcentral.
UACAGAGGUCUCAAGCGUUGUUCGGAUUCAUUGGGCGUAAAGGGUGCGUAGGUGGCGGGGCAAGUUUGGUGUGAAAUCCCGGGGCUCAACCUCGGAACUGCACUGAAUACUGCCUUGCUAGAGCACUGGAGAGGGAACUGGAAUUUACGGUGUAGCAGUGAAAUGCGUAGAUAUCGUAAGGAAGACCAGUGGCGAAGGCGAGUUCCUGGACAGAUUGCUGACACUGAGGCACGGAAGGCUAAGGGAGCAA